GUCAGGUCUAUGUUUAGUAAUAGUAAUAGACUAUUGAAGUCAGUCUUUAGUCAGGUCUAUGUUUAGUAAUAGUAAUAGACUAUUGUUUGUUGGGGGUAAUUGCCUGGUUACUGCAACAUUCAGUCGUGUUUCACCAAGCUAUGAUCCUAACUACCUUCUCUGUCUUCCCUUCACUGACAUUGUUUCAAUACAUGGCAUCUGGUUGCCUGUUGAUGUCCAAAUGUCCGGAGCACAUCCCUGUAACGUCUGUGCCUCAUCUAUGAAACAUGUGAUCCAGUACUAAUCAACGGUUGUCACCUCAGUAAAUAGCCAAGCUGAUAAAUGGGUCAUUAGUAAGUGAGUCAACAGGCAGCACUGGGUUAUAUGACACAGCUGAAGCUGGCAGACAAGAAACAGGGUGAGAUUUGAAUCUGAAGCGAAACAUCCGUAUUUUGAAAAGUAGACCUUUCGACUAACAGUUCAGAUACAGCCUGAUGUUUGCCCAAGAACCUCCUGAUUAUCCUAGUCCAGCACACAGAGGAGGAUCCCAGGCAGUGAAUCCAUGUCAAGGGGAUCUAAACCACAUCUCGCAUAGCUUCCCAAAUUGCCAGCUCAGGUUGUCUCAUCCAAGAGAAAACUGGGUGAAAACGGUAGCGGGCGUCAAGGCAGAAAGUACCAAGGCGUACUGGUGUGGAGGAAGCUUUUAAAAUAGUGUGAUGUGGUCCGUUGGUGGCUUCUCCUGGAGGGUGUGAGGACAGUGGUCGACUCCAUUACCCUCAGGGCUUGUUAAUACUCCUGGGAUCUGGGAUGAUGCUGCAACACCAACCCGUGCUCAAGGUUUGCCCAAAUUACCAAGUAAUGUACUACAUUUGUUCCCUAACCUGUAAAGCAGUCUGUUAAACCCGGAGACAGACACAAUCCAUGCUUUGGUUUUCUCUGUUUGGCUGCUGCCAUAAAAGGCUUAUCCUCAACUGCUUGAAGUAACUUAGAUUAGGGACAACUAUUGUCCUAGAUGUAUCAUACUCAUGGGCAAUCGGUUGCCCGAGGAGAUGAACCAUUUUUCAUUACAUUUGUUCUGUUAUGUCUUUUAGGUUUUAUUCAAUUCAAUAGAUUUUGAGAAAGGAGGAUCUGUCAACAGAUAAUGACGUACUGUAAAAUAUCUUUGUAAGUGGGGCUGAGAUAAUGAUGUGGACGGUUGUUGAUUUAUACGGAUUAGCAUCACAUCCCACUUAUGAUCCUUUUAAAAACGUAAAGUCUGUGUGUUAGGUCCUUUGGGGGAUGGCUGUCCCAUUGAGACCAACAUCAUAACAUCUGGGUACGGUCUUCGGAGGGCGCUGACCCUGUGUGAACUAGAAGAUCUGAGGGAGUGGGCUGUUCGGCUUCCUCUUCUGCCUCUGCUAGAUACCUCUGUCUCUGUGGACAUUCCAGCAUGUCCGUCACUCCAGACACCAGAUUUUUAAUAUGUAAAACAGACCUGGGGCCUCCCUGAUCUCUGGGGUAGCUAGACAAGGCUUUGCAUCAGAACAGCAGGCAGCUAUCUAAGCUCUUUUAGAGGAAUUGUAAUCGCUGUUAGGAAAGUGUUUUGCAUAUUUUGUGGCAGUGAAGCCAUUUGAAUGCAAUAAGCUAGGAAUAGUACUGGCUUCUUUUUCUCUGUCUGUGUGAGGGGGUGAGUUAGUCUCUCUGUGUCAAUGUUUUUGUCAUUGUGUUUGUGUGAUCACGCUCAGAUAAUUGGCAGACCCCCAUUAGGUGGCGCGUGUGUGUGUGUCAUGUACUGGUACCAAGGCUUCUUUUCUGUGUUCCAGGGUUUUCUGCAUUUCACAGCGCAAUGUUGUUUUCUCCUGAAGCACCAGUUCAGACUGCACUCAAUUAAAUCUCAAUAGCCCCCCCCCCAAAACACACACUCACACACAUUCACCUGGAGGCCAAGCUGCUCUCAGCAGUACUCCUCCACAUCACCAGUGAAUUAUAAUAACCCAGCAACUGGGUGAUACUGGAUGACCAGCUGGUAGCCUAGCGCUAAAAAUGUGUAGGCCAGGAAGGGAAAGGUCAGUAGAUCUGAUCCUGGAGCCAGCAAGGUAAAUACACAAACUAUGUAGCAGCUGGCCACGCCCCUGGACAUCCUAUGUAGCAGAUGGCCACACCCCUGGGCACCCUAUGUAAUAGCUGGCCACACCCCUGGGCACCCUAUGUAAUAGCUGGCCACGCCCCUGGGCACCCUAUGUAGCAGAUGGCCACACCCCUGGGCACCCUAUGUAAUAGCUGGUCACACCUCUCCAAUUUGGUACAGAUGCAAUACGUCUCUAUUGUCAACAGUGUUGAGGCUUCAUUACACCAAAACAAUGCAUAGAGAAGAUUUUAGUAACCUUGAGUAUAACAACACAAAUCUUUAAAAUGAAAAGUAUACUAUUUUAAAUAUGGAUGUUUGUUGGUUCUUCAACCUUAAAUUAAUCCCAGGGGACAAGAGAAACUGUAAUCCAUGGUUUGUUUUUCUAAGCCAUUACAAACUUAAAUUACAGGUUCUAACAUGCAACUAGAAGUUGGAAAUUCUCAGUAUAGAGUAUCACCUCUUAUAUCUACACAGAGUAUCACCUCUUAUAUCUACACAGAGUAUCACCAUUUAUAACUACAGAGUAUCACCAUUUAUAACUACAGAGUAUCGCCACUUAUAUCUACACAGAGUAUCACCAUUUAUAACUACAGAGUAUUACCAUUUAUAUCUACACAGAGUAUCACCACUUAUAUCUACACAGAGUAUCACCAUUUAUAACUACAGAGUAUCACCACUUAUAUCUACACAGAGUAUCACCAUUUAUAUUUACACAGAGUAUCAUCACUGCUUAUGUUUGGCCAUAAUAACUGCCCACUUUAUCUGCAAGCAUAUGUGAGGUGCUAGUUAAAUAGUCACUGAAAGUUAAAUAGUAAAUAAAAGGAUUUCAUCACUCAAUGGAGGAUUUCAGUAACAGGAAUGAUAUGAACACCUAGUCUCACAAGGUCUUAUUCAAUUGUUGUAAUUCCUAAUCCUAGGAAGAAUCCAGUCAGUGUCCAUUUUGUUUCUAUUUACCGAACAGCCUCCAUACGUCAAAAUGUGGCCCACAUCGGCAACAACUCAGUGUGACAUCAAAUUCACUAGGGGUCACCUGACUUCUACCUAUGUAGCACAUAACUGGCAUCUGAACAACGUAUUUAGCAGGACGUGCCUUCACCAAACACACAUUGUUGGAGGAAGCCAUCAUUACACUGAACGGAAAGGCUGUCUGCAGAUUGUGAUCGCUCCAAACAACACGCUGCACGUUUUCUCUGUCUCCACAGGAAACUGUUGAAGAUGACUUCAACUGCCUCCCCUGUGACCAAAUUCACCACAGUGUCAUCCAAUGCCACCACCACCACCAAGUCCAGAGAACAAAUACUCACACAGAGCUCAGGGGCUAUGAUUGCCCUCAUCGUCGUGGCGAUCAUUAUCGUUCUAACCAUCCUGCUCGUUAUCCUAAAGACGUACAACAGGCGCACUCAUGUGUCCAGAGUGUUAGGAACCGUCUCCAAAGUUCCACCACGUCCAAAAAUGGCUUCUUCCUCUACAAUCCAUACCAGCAUGCCCUUGGGAAACCUACAAGACGGCUCUGCAUCCAGAAGCUUUGCUCAUUCAAAUAUUGAGUCUGGAAAUGGAUUCCGGCUACCUCGAGCUGAACUAAACAGCCUGGAGGAAAACAACUUGGAGCAGCAGAGUACAGUCAGCGAUUCGACAGUGGUCACCAUACAUGAUCCACCGUCAAUAGGAAAUACAUAGCAGAUCUCUAGCAUGUUGGACACAUGGUGAAGUCUGCAUGCUAUGUUGGAAAACAAAUAUGAACAAAGUGCAUAGGGAAGCAAUGGACACUAAGAUGGACAUAAACAUAUGCAUUUUUGACUACAGUGUUCAGGACUUGAAAAGAAUGAUUCUCCCCUCAGUGCAUUUGGGGCAGUGCAACCAACUUGAACUUGUCCUUGCUAAUUCUACUGUUGUGUUUCUGUCAAAGGUAGAUGUUGACACAUUCUUUAAUGAAUUCAGUUUAUUCUUAUGCAAGGUUUUUUUUAACAACGUCGUGGUUAUGGUUUUCACCAUACAGGGAAAAAUCAUGACAGUGUUUCGGAGAAAUGUCGAUACUGAACCACUGUGGAACUCCGGAAAGCAGACAGUUAUGAAUUUAUAAGUCCUAAUUAGUUUUAUAUCAAAUGAUUUUGCACUUUACACUAUCCAGUUUGUUUUGUUGGGUUUCUGACAAAAUAAAUGUUGAUAGUUCUAAUAUUGUGUGCAUGUUUCUACUACUAGGCUUUAAUGCAAUAUCCAAAUAAAAAGACAAUUCUUAUUUAUCCCCAAAGUUGGAAUAUUUAAAGCUUUGGAAAUGUAAUUUGCCACCAGAAAAACCUUUUCUUCAUCACUACUGUGAAAUAUUCCUGGAUUCUGAUGUUUUUUUGUCAAGAAAAGUUACUCUUGAAGGGGCUGUAUCGAACCUUCAGUACUGACACAAAUUUAGUAAAUAGAACAGACAAUAAUGGAGCUUCUAUAAAGCCGGGAAACAGCAUCCCUGUUGAUGACAGGAUUGUAUACGUAAUUACAUGCACACAAUGUAACCUUGGGUCACUGUAGCAAGCAGGUCCUGGGCCCUUAACAGGCAAGCAGUCAAACAGAAACCAGAGUUCCAAAAAGUGUAUUACCUGGCUCAAUAAACAGAAAAGUACAAAACUACUGACAUUUGAUGCCUCAGUGGGUAGACGGUAACACCAGCUUUGUAACUCGGACCAGGUCCUACCCAGUCCGUUUGCUUAGCUACUCUCACACGCUACCGUCCAAACUCCAGGAGUCCACCAACACUGCAGCAUGAAGCACAGAGCAAUGUUUUCCCGUGACCAAAAUGGAGCGGCUAAAUCCCCUGACCCGUGCCACCCCCAUACUGUUCCAACCAAUACCAUAUGCCCCAAAUGGGUUCCAUCCACUUGGCUAGAGGACAGAUUUCUUCAGUUCCUGGCUGAGGUUCCUGUUUUAAACAUCAAGGUAAAUUCACAGCUGUAUGUGCACAUACAAGCGGUUUCAUGCUUUUUCAAUCCAUGUCUCCCAUUCUGGAAAAGGGUUGGUGACGCUUCCUCUGAUCUUCGACUUGCACACUUUCAUCCAACAAGUUCCACUGAUUGAGCCGAGACAUGAAAAGCUUGGCACUGGACUUGGUGAGACCGAGAUCUAGAAUCAAGUCGUUGAGUUCUUUUUGGUUGGGGUAGUGUGGGUGUUUCUCCUCAGCUCCACCUCUGAAAUUCUCAUCUGGAUCUACAACGUCUUCCUCACUCCCGGAAUUGCUGCUUUCUUCUAUAUAUGGCUGGUCUCUCUUGGGAGGGGUGGGUACGGGGGAGCUCAUGGCAGUGAGGCACCGGGGCGAGGGAUGAAGGAAGGUCCGGAGACAUGAUAGCAGGUGCGUUCUUGCCAGUCCGACGUUUGGAGGGGUCCACCACGCAGAAGUGGCAGUUGCUGGAGUGGUCAAUGGGUUCCCGCCAAGUUCUUGGGAUAGCAAACUUCCUAGCUCUCUUUUCCCCUCAAUACCAUCCUACAGAAAUACAUUUAUUUCACCCAUGACUAAUGUGUGAGAGAUUCUCACAAAAUGUUUGCAUAUUAUAUAUUUUUUCAAUAACACUGAAAAUUGUAAAACAUUUUUAAAUUAAACUGAUAAUUUAAAUGUUUUUACAAAUUUUGUAACAAAAUUGCAAGCAACAAUUGUCCCUACCACCUUCCAGAGUUUUUUUGCAGUGCUCGCAGGUGAAAUGAGGUGCCCAGGGUUUGUCUGGAUUCCCGACAGGCAUGCCAAAAUAUGCCUUGUAGGCCUCACACAUCCUAGCAGAUGCUUCCACCAAGUACUUUUUCGUUCUUGUCUUGAUAAAUUGGCCGCAGACAUAGCGAAAUGCGUCUGCCGGAUGCUUGCAGCCUCUUGAUGCCAUCUCAGAACAAGGAACCAGGCAAGGCUAGUUCAGCCGGCCCGCAAUAAAAAGAAUUGCCACCUCGAGAUUCGAAUUGGGGUCGCCCCACGUGAGACAUUCGCUAGAUCUCAGUAGAGCCUCUUGUCUCUAUCCUGAACAAAUCCUCUUUUGCCACUGGCUGUUUUAAUUGUUAUUUGGCCAUUCGUGAAUGACACUGAUACAGUUAAACUGACUAACGUUUCUUACUAAGUUUACCUCCACCACAAAUAUGUAUAGCGUUUACCACUGGCCAUUUUAACAGCAUAUUAGCAUGCAAUAAGCUUUACUGGUAUCUACUAACUUACUGGAAUAGUCAUAAGAAUUGAUCAAUUGCUAGCGAGUCUGCCAAAGCAGUUUCAUUUCAUGGCAUAAGAACAUAUUUUUUUCUUUCAUGGCAAAACAACACUUUUUUCUCUUAUUGGUGAAUAACUUUUAUACAAUAACUAUAAAUAAAGGCGAUGAUGAACUUUUCCAUCAAGUGAAAAGACGAGAGAAUCGUGGAAUCUACAAGAAAUAAUUAAUAAAGGUUUUUGCUCUCAAUAGAUUCAAACUUAGGUCUUCCACAUGAGAGGCGCUGUCUUUAACCACUACACCACAGCAUUACAUGUUUCAGCAGUCGCUAGACUACAUUGAGGAUUAUGUUAAACUGACUAAAGUUUCUUAUUAAGUUUACCUCCACCAUCGUGUCUAUGAACUGUACUGCUUUUGCCACUGGCCGUUUUAACAGCUUAUUAGCCAGC
Molecule: long non-coding RNA, 6695 nt
Organism: Esox lucius (northern pike)
Lineage: Eukaryota; Metazoa; Chordata; Actinopteri; Esociformes; Esocidae
Source: Ensembl